GGGAAGGUAGAAGGUGGGGUCUGCCGGACGCGUGUUCCUGCCACCAGGUGCCCGCUCCCCGCGAGGCCGGCUCAGGAGCAGAAGGAAGCCCGGUGCCAGCCAGCCUUCCUGAAAGACCAAGCCCGCGCCAUCCGGCUUCCUCCAGUGGACGCCUGCAGGACCCAGGAACACUACAUCAACACUCUUGGCGGGGACCUGGACACAGAAGACUCCUGUUUCAAGAAAAUACAAUCAUCUCUCAAAGGCUGUAAUUUAUAUGCAUUUUAAAACUCUAGGCAUUGAAAACCACCCAAGUGUCCCAAAUAGAAGGGUAAUAUAUAAUCAAUCACUCAGUGUAAUAUUAUACAUCCUUUAAAAAUGUUAUUGGGAAAUGUUUUAUGAUCUGUAAGUCCAAGGAAUCCUCUCCCACCAUUUCUUUCCCCCCCGCUGUUCCCCCAUACCCACACUUCUUUGUUCCAAUUGGCAUGUAAAUUUGGUUUUCCCGCCAAAUGAGUCAGUCAUGAUGGGAACCUCAACUGAUUUGAACAGAUGUGUGUCAAUGUUACUUGGAAAACUAGAUGUCAAUAACCAGGGUCACAGAAAAAGGCAGUGGUCACAACUCUGUAAAAAUGUAUGCAUGCACACAGACAAGGACUAAAGUGGAACCCCACACAGGAAAACAGUGGGCUGUACUCCAGUGCUGGGACAUUGAAUGACUGUAUGCUGCUUUUGAUUUCCGUUAAUAUGGGCAACUGUCCAAUUAAAAAAAAAACUCCUAAGGA
Molecule: long non-coding RNA, 761 nt
Filed under: Pan troglodytes (chimpanzee)
Lineage: Eukaryota; Metazoa; Chordata; Mammalia; Primates; Hominidae
Description: lincRNA
Source: RNAcentral